Molecule: ribosomal RNA, 468 nt
Filed under: uncultured bacterium
Lineage: Bacteria
Description: partial 16S ribosomal RNA
Rfam family: Bacterial small subunit ribosomal RNA
Source: RNAcentral
GACGAACGCUGGCGGCGUGCUUAACACAUGCAAGUCGAACGGAAAGGCCCUGCUUUUGUGGGGUGCUCGAGUGGCGAACGGGUGAGUAACACGUGAGUAACCUGCCCUUGACUUUGGGAUAACUUCAGGAAACUGGGGCUAAUACCGGAUAGGAGCUCCUGCUGCAUGGUGGGGGUUGGAAAGUUUCGGCGGGUGGGGAUGGACUCGCGGCUUAUCAGCUUGUUGGUGGGGUAGUGGCUUACCAAGGCUUUGACGGGUAUCCGGCCUGAGAGGGUGACCGGCCACAUUGGGACUGAGAUACGGCCCAGACUCCUACGGGAGGCAGCAGUGGGGAAUAUUGCACAAUGGGCGGAAGCCUGAUGCAGCAACGCCGCGUGCGGGAUGACGGCCUUCGGGUUGUAAACCGCUUUCGCCUGUGACGAAGCGUGAGUGACGGUAAUGGGUAAAGAAGCACCGGCUAACUACGUG